CCUACGGGUCGCACCAGUGGGGAAUAUAGCACAAUGGGCGCAAGCCUGAUGCAGCCAUGCCGCGUGUGUGAAGAAGGCCUUCGGGUUGUAAAGCACUUUCAGCGGGGAGGAAGGCGGUGAGAUUAAUACUCUCAUCGAUUGACGUUACCCGCAGAAGAAGCACCGGCUAACUCCGUGCCAGCAGCCGCGGUAAUACGGAGGGUGCAAGCGUUAAUCGGAAUGACUGGGCGUAAAGCGCACGCAGGCGGUUUGUUAAGUCAGAUGUGAAAUCCCCGAGCUUAACUUGGGAACUGCAUUUGAAACUGGCAAGCUAGAGUCUCGUAGAGGGGGGUAGAAUUCCAGGUGUAGCGGAGAAAUGCGUAGAGAUCUGGAGGAAUACCGGUGGCGAAGGCGGCCCCCUGGACAAAGACUGACGCUCAGGUGCGAAAGCGUGGGGAGCAAACAGGAUUAGAUACCCCAGUAGUC
This 465-nucleotide ribosomal RNA is filed under the name uncultured bacterium. Its description in RNAcentral is "bacterial SSU rRNA". It matches the Rfam family "Bacterial small subunit ribosomal RNA", at positions 338 to 795 of the family's 1533-position model. The record is from RNAcentral.